This 253-nucleotide ribosomal RNA is filed under the name uncultured bacterium. RNAcentral's name for it is "partial 16S ribosomal RNA". It matches the Rfam family "Bacterial small subunit ribosomal RNA", at positions 524 to 776 of the family's 1533-position model. The record is from RNAcentral.
UACGUAGGGUGCAAGCGUUGUCCGGAAUUAUUGGGCGUAAAGAGCUCGUAGGCGGUCUGUCGCGUCGGCUGUGAAAUCCCGAGGCUCAACCUCGGGUCUGCAGUCGAUACGGGCAAACUGGAGUGUUGCAGGGGAGACUGGAAUUCCUGGUGUAGCGGUGAAAUGCGCAGAUAUCAGGAGGAACACCGGUGGCGAAGGCGGGUCUCUGGGCCACUACUGACGCUGAGGAGCGAAAGCGUGGGGAGCGAACAGG